RNAcentral lists this ribosomal RNA (19 nucleotides) under Cortinarius delibutus. RNAcentral's name for it is "partial 28S ribosomal RNA". RNAcentral also lists the same sequence under 4 other names. Lineage: Eukaryota; Fungi; Basidiomycota; Agaricomycetes; Agaricales; Cortinariaceae. The record is from RNAcentral.
AUGUGACCUCAAAUCAGGU